CAGUCGCCGCGGUAAUACGAAGGGUGCAAGCGUUACUCGGAAUUACUGGGCGUAAAGCGUGCGUAGGCGGCUUCUUAAGUCGGAUGUGAAAUCCCUGAGCUUAACUUAGGAAUUGCAUUCGAUACUGGGAAGCUAGAGUAUGGGAGAGGAUGGUAGAAUUCCAGGUGUAGCGGUGAAAUGCGUAGAGAUCUGGAGGAAUACCGAUGGCGAAGGCAGCCAUCUGGCCUAAUACUGACGCUGAGGUACGAAAGCAUGGGGAGCAAACAGGAUUAGAUACCCCUGUAGUCCCUGUCUCUUAUAC
RNAcentral lists this ribosomal RNA (301 nucleotides) under uncultured bacterium. RNAcentral describes it as "partial 16S ribosomal RNA". It matches the Rfam family "Bacterial small subunit ribosomal RNA", at positions 509 to 807 of the family's 1533-position model. The record is from RNAcentral.